Molecule: long non-coding RNA, 1760 nt
Organism: Drosophila ficusphila
Lineage: Eukaryota; Metazoa; Arthropoda; Insecta; Diptera; Drosophilidae
Exons: 3
Source: RefSeq, a predicted model, not a curated record
UAGAGGAGAAAGGGGGCUACAAUUUCCUCAAAUGAUAACCUCAAUUCUACAUUGGUGGGUUCUAAGUCGCCCAUUGUCAUGCUGGAGCAAUCGGAGCAAUUGGCUGUGUAAAACUGAAACUCGCCACGAAACUGCAUCGGUUUCUUAUAUGCUGACAGUGAAAUUCCCGUGCCACGGAAUUGCUGCAUCUGCAAUUACACUUGUUGGCCGUCUCGUCUGUCUGUGCCACACCGCCGGCUCAUAAUACUACACUUGUAACUAAAUGUCGAUCGAGAGAAAAAAAGAAACAAACUGCUGUCGCAGUCGAAGGCAUUUUGCCGGCCGAAUUUGGACAGGCCGCUUCUGAUUGGCCUGGUCUGGCCAAUUGACGGAAUCUAUGGAUUCCGAUCCAUUCCAGAGUGCCUGACUCGAAUUGCCGAUUCGGUUGCAUCAGCCAUAAAAGAAAACUGCACUCCACAGCUGAAAAACUCAGCCUGGCUUUAUGUUGAACAAAAUUUUACUAGACCAGGUUUCAAAAGCUCCCGAAAGGUAGGCUAUGGAUUUUUACAUCAUCGCUUUAUCGCAAAACAAAUUUCGAAUAAGAUGGAAAUUAAAAUGUAGUAUUACUUGAGAGCUAAUCAUUAUAAAAAAUGAUUUAAAUAUAUUUCUGCCAUUCAUAGGUUCACAUUAAUGUUAAAAUUGCUUUAAAUCAAAGUUCUUUUUUCAGUUGUAUGAAUGAAGUAAUCUUGGAAAAGUUAUAGUCGCACAUAAUAAUUAAUUUAUAAUCGAAAUAUAAAUCAUUUGGUCUGGUUGUUAAUAUUUUAAGGUAGCUGCAACCCUUUGUAAUACCAGCAAUUUAUAUAACCAUUUUUAAAACCGGAUGUAAAUCAUUUGAAUGACAGCGCUUUUUUAACAAACGAAAAUUAAAACUUUCCGCCUUCUGAUAAUUGCUGAUAUUUGAAACCCCCUAUGAAAAGUGGACUUCCGGGCAAAACGCGCUUAGAAUACUAUACUUUUGAAGGUACUUUUAUUAUAAAUAUUCCUAUCAGUUCAAAAACAAAUCUCAGGUUAUCGGCUAUAGUUCGUACAGUUCAAUCUUUAAUCACUGCAGCGUCAUCAAAAUAAGUUUUACAAUAACAAGAGAAAAAUCAUUUGAGUAAGUAAAUUAAAGUCUAACAUUCAUUCAUCUUCUGAAAACGAGAAAAGUCUUACACGUGUGCUUGCUGAUAUUGUCGUAAAAAUUGCUAAUUUAUUUCACGCCAUUUUUGUUCGACAGAAAUGUUUUCAAAUAUAAUUUUCUUGUUUAUUUCCCCAGCAAUAAUAUUUGCAUCUAAAAGGCAGAUCGCCAAAAUUGAUAUUUAUCAAACGACAGCGGAUGGGUUGCAUAAAUAUUUAGAAAAUAACGACCAGCACCUUGAACCUGGGAGAUAACUCACAAUAUUGAUUAACAAAAGCGCUCAAAGUACGUGCACCUCGCCUUGGCGCUUACGUGAUUUGUGCCUUUUAAAAGGCAAGAGACUGGUUGAUUAUAGACCUUUUUAUCUGAUCCCCCGCUCUUCAGACUAAUUGAUAAUUGUAAUCAAUCUGAGCUGCUCGUGUCAGAGUGUCCGGUUUUAAGGUCUUACAAAGCAUUUUUAGUCUCAAUUUAGCCGUCGUCGUCACAUCAAAGGCCAAUUAGCGACAUCGAGCCACUAAUCUACUCGUAAACUUAAUUGGCAAACAUGCCACACCAGCAAUUUAGGCGACAUAUUUUUAGCACAUUGACCAGACUGAUGAGAGAU